GUUUAUAGAGUGGGCCAGCCUUCCCAAAACCCAUUAUACCAACGCUUCGAGCCCUGUACAGCCAGACAGGAUUUCUGAGAUUAACAACUCAAACAGCUGCUUCUCUGGCCUGUCUCCUCCUGCAGAGGUAACCAAGAGGUAACUCAAGAGGUCCGCAGUCACAACUAUCACCCACUUGCAGCUAGGUGUGAAACACACAGAAAAGAGGAACCUCAAAGACACAGGGAGGGCUAAGAGUUCCCAGGUGGUCCAGUGGUUAGGACUCCACGCUGACACUGCCAACGUUGAAGAUUCAGCCCCUGAUCCCGGAAGAUCUUGUAAGUCAUGCACGGAUGUGAGAGUUGAACCAUAAAGAAGGCUGAGCAAUGAAGAACUGAUGCUUUCCAAUUAUGGUGCUGGAGAAGACUCUUGAGAGUCCCUGGGACUGCAAAGAGAUCCAACCAGUCAGUCCUAAAGGAAAUCAACCCUGAUUAUUCAUUGGAAGGACUGAUACUUGAAGUUGAAGCUCCAAUACUUUGGCCACCUGAUGCAAAGAGCCAACUCAUUGAGAAAGACCCUGAUGCGGGGAAAAAUUGGAGGCAAAAAGAGAAGAGGGUCACAAAGAGUCAGACAUGAGUUAGGAACUGAACAACAGUGCCCUAACUGAAACAAGAAUUACCAGCAGGAAUGUGAAUGGAGAGUAACAUUCUGAGAAGAACAUUCUGGGUAGAGGAAUUGAAGUCCCACACAACUUAAUGGGGACACUGGCUGCCUUGGCUCUACCAGAUCUCCUGGAAGAGGUGACUUGUUCUAUCUGUUCACACAAUUUGAAGAAACCACUUGCCGUUGAAUGUGGACACAAGUCUUGCUGUGAUUGCCUCUUAUGAAAUUGGAAAGGAAUCUGAUUACAGCACCUGCUUUAAGUAUAAAGAAAUUUGCAAGGGAAGGGACUUCCCUGGAGGUCCAGUGGUUAAGACUCUGCCCUUCCAUUGUAGAGACACGGAUUUGAUCCCUGGUCAGGGAACUAAGAUCCUGCACACUGCAUGGCAUAUU
This is a long non-coding RNA of Bos taurus (domestic cattle), 1032 nucleotides long. Lineage: Eukaryota; Metazoa; Chordata; Mammalia; Artiodactyla; Bovidae. The record is from Ensembl.